UUCUGGCUCAGGAUGAACGCUAGCGACAGGCUUAACACAUGCAAGUCGAGGGGCAGCAUAAAAGUAGCAAUACUUUGGUGGCGACCGGCGCACGGGUGAGUAACGCGUAUGCAACCUACCUAUCAGAGGGGAAUAACCCGGCGAAAGUCGGACUAAUACCGCAUAAAACAGGGGCACCGCAUGGUGAUAUUUGUUAAAGAAAUUCGCUGAUAGAUGGGCAUGCGUUCCAUUAGGUAGUUGGUGAGGUAACGGCUCACCAAGCCGACGAUGGAUAGGGGAACUGAGAGGUUGGUCCCCCACACUGGUACUGAGACACGGACCAGACUCCUACGGGAGGCAGCAGUGAGGAAUAUUGGUCAAUGGGCGGGAGCCUGAACCAGCCAAGUCGCGUGAAGGAAAGAAGGAUCUAUGGUUCGUAAACUUCUUUUGCAGGGGAAUAAAGUGCAGGACGUGUCCUGUUUUGUAUGUACCCUGAGAAUAAGGAUCGGCUAACUCCGUGCCAGCAGCUGC
Molecule: ribosomal RNA, 510 nt
Filed under: uncultured bacterium
Lineage: Bacteria
Description: bacterial SSU rRNA
Rfam family: Bacterial small subunit ribosomal RNA
Source: RNAcentral